AAAAGAGAGAGAAAUUCAGAGCGAUGAGGAAGUGGAUAUUACAUGAUUCUCAGUUAAUACAGGCAAGAACUGAGUUUAAUCAUGUUACAAGCCAUUGUUCCAACUCUGCAUAGAGAAGGAUCCUAGCAAGUGAAGUGGACUCUCAAGUUCAGCCCAUUUGAGCUAACUGUGUUCAGUGUUGAUGUAUUUCUCCCCCAGUGUGUGGUGGUCAUUAUAUAUCCUGGAAUGGAACUCUGAGCUCUCCUUAUUACCCGAGUUACUACCCUCCAAAUAUUGACUGCAGCUGGAUCAUCCGAGCACCAUUGCCAGCCUACAAGCUCUCCUUAAAAAUCCUUGUAAUACAAAUUCAAGAGAAAUCGCCAGGGUCCAGUAAAUGUGAUAAAGAUUGGCUAGAAAUCGAAGGAGUUAGGUGAGUAAAUACACUAUUUACUGACAUACUAAUGUGUACUUUGAUGUUCUAUGCAACAUGAGACACCUUAAGGAAAAACAUCAGUGUAGAAAGAUACAUUUCAAAAAAUAAAGGCAUACUUUCAUUGAAUUACA
RNAcentral lists this long non-coding RNA (543 nucleotides) under Anser brachyrhynchus (Pink-footed goose). RNAcentral describes it as "lncRNA (ENSABRG00000004226.1)". The record is from RNAcentral. Lineage: Eukaryota; Metazoa; Chordata; Aves; Anseriformes; Anatidae.